Long non-coding RNA from Apis cerana (Asiatic honeybee), 1984 nucleotides. RefSeq lists it as uncharacterized. Lineage: Eukaryota; Metazoa; Arthropoda; Insecta; Hymenoptera; Apidae. The record is from RefSeq and is a predicted model, not a curated record.
GAAAUAAAAAGUUGCGCACGGUUCACGUGGACGUUAGAUACCUGUACACGCUACGCCGAUAAAUUGCUUCGAAUUAUCUGCACGCUCAUCACUAGCACUUCCUCUCUUUGUCGAGCAGCGACCGUCUCUAUAGUGCAUGCAGAUAAAUUCUAACGAUUACAUGCAAUUUCUCUGCGACAUUAACGAAGGAAGAAUCGGAAGUUCAAACGUACUAUAGCGAACUGUGAGAUAUUCAUCGAGAACCACUCUGCCUAGAACAAAACCGAUUUGCUGCUGCUUUCGAAGAAAGAAGAAAAAGAAUGAAAAAGAUCAGAAAGGAAGCAAUUCUCUUCUUUCCUUCCCAGUUUUAUCGAUAUUUUCAAUCAUUGGUCGUUUCUAACCUAAAUUUUCAAUUUUAACGAUCUUAUAAAAUCUAUUAUAUAAUUUCUCCGUAAAAAUGACGUAAUCAGGCUGAAAAAAUCUAAGUCUAGUGAAAAUUUAUAUUUUUAUAAUAUUAUUAGUGGAAUCUUGACAUCUGUAUCUAUUCUAAUUUUUAAUACAUUCGAUAAUAUCAUUUCAGAAAUUUAAAAUUCGAUUAGUUUUAAAGAAAACUUUAACUUUUCACUUCGAUAUAUUUCUUUCGGCACAAUUUAGUUUGAAAAUUCUGUAAACAUCUUUAACAGUUAUGGAACAUUGCACGAAAAUGUAUUGAAAUCUUCAAAAAAAUUUCCAAUCGAUAUGAAGAUUAAAUAACAAUUGAAAUCAAGAAGUUUGCAAUUAAAAUUCAAGAAUGAAAGUAUCGUUAAAAUAUAAUAACGCUUUCCACACGAGGAAGAAUAAGAAAAGUAAGAACUAGAAUCAGAAAAAAAGAAAUGUUGACAAGAUAAGUGUUAAUAUUAACGCAACCAUCCGCUUAUUCACAUGGCUGUAGAUUAUCCACACUACCUGUGAAUUUAUUCGCUAUUUUGUACGGAUUACAGGGACGUGGUGGAAAGGUCAAUGACGUUCAUACUCGUGAUCGAUAAUAUAAUAAUUACGUUCUGAUCUAGAUUAUAUCCCUGAACAAUGCGGCGUAUUAUCCUUGAUGGCGUUCUAAGCAAUGGAACUAUCGUGUUCUCAUAUACGUGUUCAUUCAUCUAAAUUAUAGAAGAGGAAGAAAAUAUCGUUAAAUUUCUAAUUUGAAUACAAUGAAUUUCACGGAUCCUUCGAACAAGCAUUUCAACCAGCGGACGGAAGUCUUGUUAAGAAUGCGUUAAACCCAACGUUAAACCAUGAAUACGAAUAAUUCAAGUUCCCAGCAUCAACUGCAGGCAAAUAAAGGUAAACAACAUCUUGAAGAGAGAAAAAGACAGACACACAAAGAGCAUUAGAAACGAAUGUAAUUGUAGUUCAUAGAGGCGAAUUUUCGUGGAAGAACUAAUUAGACUGUAUUACCAGCACAAAUGUCUAAUUUGAACCGAAACUUUCUCCUGUAUAGUAUACACGUUUAAUAAUCAGAAUAUUUUUUUGGAAGUUUUAGAAUAUCAAUUUCAAAUUAAUAAAAUAUUAUCAAAUGUUGUGAAUUGCAAUUGAAUUGUUAAAUAUUCAGAAUAUGAAGAUCUUUAUAAGAUUAUAAUUUUGCAAUGAAAGAGUGUGUAAAUUUAUUUAUAUAAACUUUUAUUAUAUUUCUAACUGGAAGUGAUUAUACAUCGAUAUAUUUUUUUUCAUUCGAUUAUAAAAAUAUCUAAACAAGAAAGACACGCAAAUUUUUCUUUUUUCGAAAUCAUUAUAUUGAAAAAAAAAUUGGAAAGAAAUAUAUCCUCUAUUCUCUAUUGUUUAAACGAAGAAUAUUCUGAUAAAGUAAAAGUACAUUGUUCACUGCAUUAACCUAAUUUGGAAACGUUUUACCGCAACUUUGUAUCGGAAUUCCUGCAGCUUUGUAAUUUAAUUAAAUGCGAUACUUCUGAAAUGUAAUUACAAAUAACACUUGUAGAAAUCAUUCAACAAUAAACAAACAUUUUAUUCA